RNAcentral lists this ribosomal RNA (164 nucleotides) under Arabidopsis thaliana (thale cress). Its description in RNAcentral is "5.8S ribosomal RNA". It matches the Rfam family "5.8S ribosomal RNA". Rfam says of the family: 5.8S ribosomal RNA (5.8S rRNA) is a component of the large subunit of the eukaryotic ribosome. It is transcribed by RNA polymerase I as part of the 45S precursor that also contains 18S and 28S rRNA. Functionally, it is thought that 5.8S rRNA may be involved in ribosome translocation. The record is from RNAcentral. Lineage: Eukaryota; Viridiplantae; Streptophyta; Magnoliopsida; Brassicales; Brassicaceae.
AAAACGACUCUCGGCAACGGAUAUCUCGGCUCUCGCAUCGAUGAAGAACGUAGCGAAAUGCGAUACUUGGUGUGAAUUACAGAAUCCCGUGAACCAUCGAGUCUUUGAACGCAAGUUGCGCCCCAAGCCUUCUGGCCGAGGGCACGUCUGCCUGGGUGUCACAA